AGAGUUUGAUCAUGGCUCAGAACGAACGCUGGCGGCAUGCCUAACACAUGCAAGUCGAACGAGACCUUCGGGUCUAGUGGCGCACGGGUGCGUAACGCGUGGGAAUCUACCCUUGGGUUCGGAAUAACUCAGAGAAAUUUGAGCUAAUACCGGAUGAUGUCGCAAGACCAAAGAUUUAUCGCCCAAGGAUGAGCCCGCGUAGGAUUAGCUUGUUGGUGAGGUAAAAGCUCACCAAGGCGACGAUCCUUAGCUGGUCUGAGAGGAUGAUCAGCCACACUGGGACUGAGACACGGCCCAGACUCCUACGGGAGGCAGCAGUGGGGAAUAUUGGACAAUGGGCGAAAGCCUGAUCCAGCAAUGCCGCGUGAGUGAUGAAGGCCUUAGGGUUGUAAAGCUCUUUUACCCGGGAUGAUAAUGACAGUACCGGGAGAAUAAGCCCCGGCUAACUCCGUGCCAGCAGCCGCGGUAAUACGGAGGGGGCUAGCGUUGUUCGGAAUUACUGGGCGUAAAGCGCACGUAGGCGGCUAUUCAAGUCAGAGGUGAAAGCCUGGUGCUCAACAUCAGAACUGCCUUUGAAACUAGAUAGCUAGAGUCUUGGAGAGGUCAGUGGAAUUCCGAGUGUAGAGGUGAAAUUCGUAGAUAUUCGGAAG
RNAcentral lists this ribosomal RNA (650 nucleotides) under uncultured bacterium. RNAcentral's name for it is "bacterial SSU rRNA". It matches the Rfam family "Bacterial small subunit ribosomal RNA", at positions 8 to 704 of the family's 1533-position model. The record is from RNAcentral.